AUUGGAUAACCGUGGGAAAUCUAGAGCUAAUACAUGCAGUAAAUUGUGAGGUGUCAAAACCUUUCAAAGCAUUUAUUGGAUCAAAACCAACUGUGCCAUUGGGUAAGAGUGGCAACACUCCUCCAUUGGUGCAAGGUGAAUCUAGAUAACUUUGCUGAUCGUAUGGCCCAGAGCUGACGACAUUUCAAAUGAAUUUCUGCCCUAUCAACUUGUUGGUAAGGUAGUGGCUUACCAAGGUGACAACGGGUAACGGGGAAUCAGGGUUCGAUUCCGGAGAGGGAGCCUGAGAAACGGCUACCACAUCCAAGGGAGGCAGCAGGCGCGCAAAUUACCCAAUCCAGAAUAUGGGAGGUGGUGACGAGAAAUACUAGAUGAUUUCCCUAAAAGGAUAUCAUACUGGAAUGGACGUAAUUUAAGCAUUUCGUUGAGUAACAACUGGAGGGCAAGUCUGGUGCCAGCAGCCGCGGUAAUUCCAGCUCCAGUAGUGUAUCUUAAAGUUGCUGCGUUUAAAACGCUCGUAGUUGGAUUACGCAGUGCAAAUUGGUCGAUUGGGGUGAUGCUGCAUUAAAUUCAUUGUUUUCACAUGGGGGUCAUGGUUUAUCCUGACAUUCUCUGUGUGUUUCAAUGAAGUAGUACACGUCGAUUAACAGCCAAUUUGUGCUACUUUUUCGUGAGGAUGAUAUUUGACCUUUAUUGUGUUGAAUGUUGUGUCUUACGAAGUGUGCCUUGAAUAAAUCAGAGUGCUCAAAGCAGCUUUAGCUUGAAUGUUGAUAGCAUGGAACGAACAAUUGUGUUUUUGUGAGAUGGAGACGUGUACGUUGUGUUGAAUUAUAUUCGAUGCAAUGGAGUCUCU
RNAcentral lists this ribosomal RNA (853 nucleotides) under Ortholinea concentrica. Its description in RNAcentral is "SSU rRNA". It matches the Rfam family "Eukaryotic small subunit ribosomal RNA", at positions 138 to 892 of the family's 1831-position model. The record is from RNAcentral. Lineage: Eukaryota; Metazoa; Cnidaria; Myxozoa; Bivalvulida; Ortholineidae.